This 65-nucleotide transfer RNA is filed under the name Onthophagus sp. BMNH679869. Its description in RNAcentral is "tRNA-Thr". Lineage: Eukaryota; Metazoa; Arthropoda; Insecta; Coleoptera; Scarabaeidae. The record is from RNAcentral.
GUUUUAAUAAUUUAUUAUAAAAUAUUGGUCUUGUAAAUCAAAAAAAAGAUUUUUCUUUUAAAACU